Oxyura jamaicensis (ruddy duck) is the source of this 1425-nucleotide long non-coding RNA. RefSeq lists it as uncharacterized. The record is from RefSeq and is a predicted model, not a curated record. The transcript has 2 exons. NCBI's taxonomy places the organism in Eukaryota, Metazoa, Chordata, Aves, Anseriformes, Anatidae.
UGUUCCCCCGACAUGGUCAUUUUCUGGCAAAUAAUGUGAACCUGAAGGCUGUGCAAAUUUAUUCCUGGGAAGCCUGAUCUCCCUGCUGGGAACUACAAAGGGCUGUCCGAGAGGCUUACAAACAGCUAUCCCAGGCUGCUGCCUGGGCUUAAUCCUUCUGAUCCACUUGUGAUCCUGAAAGCUACCUCUCCUGCAAGGCUAUCGCCACUCCUGAGGUACCAAGAGUGGGGGAGAUGCCAAGAGACUGCACGGAUGCCAGAUAACAUCAUUGUGGGGGCCCCCUGGGGACCGGAGAUGCCCUUGCAGGGGUGGGAGGGGAUGACCCACAGCUCCACUCAGCCGGUGUUUCACCUCCAGGCACUCGGAACCCAUGCUGGCUCUUUGUCUCUCCUUACCUGAGCGCCAGAGGGGAACGGGAUGAUGAGUGUGAUAGCUCUGACUCACCCUUCGGCUCUGCAGAGAUAGGUGUUGCCUCAUUUAACAAUAAGAGCGAAAAACUGAAGCUAUUUAAAUCAUAAUAAAAUGUUGGAGGCAUUCUCUCUUGAUUUUUGCUCUUUCUAGUGGUGACCCGAGUUUAUCAUAUCCCUCAAGAGGAGACCUUUACGAUGCUAAGGAGAUUACCAGUCCGAAGGAGUUCAUUCAUAUGAAAAUCUAAAUCAUGUUUUUAGUUAGAUGAAACACACUGAAUGCAGAAGUUUGCAGCCAGACCAAUUAGACCCCAGGAGGGAGGCCCUGAGUUAGGGUCAGUGGGACUAAUAAACUGCCCUCCGUUUUUGCUAUCACACAGCAUGGAAAGCAACCCUGAACAUGCCUUUUGUUUACAGGGGGAGGACCAUGCUCACGUAUUUGCUGCAGGUAUUUCCUGCCUCCUCAGUGAUGCCACUGUGCCAGGAGAACAUCAGUUCAAUCAACAACAGUUUCAAUUUGCCAGUUUCUAAGCUUCACUCAUACAGAGGGCCCAAGGAUGGCAGCUUCUUCACCCCGCCACACUCACCACAGGUACAUCUUUCGGUAAUACAACGACCAUUCACCCCGCCACUUCAUUUAUGAUGACACUUUAUUACCUACCGUAUGGCAUCAUUUACUCACUGAUGGUACUUCUAACAUCACUUGGGAUCAGUCUGUGUCAUUUACUUGGGUUGCAUCACUUGUUUAGUGGCUUUAUCCGUUACAUCGUUUAACAUUCAAAGACAUUGACUCCAUGCUUUCAUUUUAUUAUCAAAACACCUCAUUUAUUCAGUGAUUUUAAGCUACCCCUGAAGUUAGGUGGGGUUGCACAUGCUGUGACAUUUUUUAAAGCCUGGCAGGAACGGUAAGCCUGGCAGAAGUGGACAUUGCUCUGAGUUCAUUGCACAGUGUCAUGGGCUUUGUCCCUUCCCCUAUUGGUGGCAAACAGUGUUAAUGAGAAAGGUAUCAGCAGCAGAG